ACGAGAGAGUAUUAUGACGGACUG
This 24-nucleotide non-coding RNA is filed under the name Arabidopsis thaliana (thale cress). Lineage: Eukaryota; Viridiplantae; Streptophyta; Magnoliopsida; Brassicales; Brassicaceae. The record is from RNAcentral.